This 76-nucleotide transfer RNA is filed under the name Micavibrio aeruginosavorus EPB. Its description in RNAcentral is "tRNA-His (GTG) (tRNA-His-GTG-1-1)". It matches the Rfam family "tRNA". Rfam says of the family: Transfer RNA (tRNA) molecules are approximately 80 nucleotides in length. Lineage: Bacteria; Pseudomonadati; Bdellovibrionota; Bdellovibrionia; Bdellovibrionales; Pseudobdellovibrionaceae. RNAcentral also lists the same sequence under 2 other names. The record is from RNAcentral.
GCGACUGUAGCUCAGCUGGUAGAGCACUCGGUUGUGGUCCGGGUUGUCGCGGGUUCGAGCCCCGUCAGUCGCCCCA